RNAcentral lists this ribosomal RNA (508 nucleotides) under uncultured eukaryote. Its description in RNAcentral is "SSU rRNA". It matches the Rfam family "Eukaryotic small subunit ribosomal RNA", at positions 42 to 553 of the family's 1831-position model. The record is from RNAcentral.
GAUUAGCCUGCAUGUAUAAGUUCCAGCUCAAUACGCUGAAACCGCGAAUGGCUCAUUAAUCAGCUAUGGUUCCUUAGAUCUUACAUCCAUACUUGGAUAACUGUAGUAAUUCUAGAGCUAAUACAUGCCACUUAAGCCCCUUUUUCGGAAGGGGUGGAUUUAUUAGAAUAAAAACCAACCGGUUUCGGCCGUCGGUUUGAUGACUCUGGAUAACUUUUCUGAUGGCAAUGCCUUGUGCAUGCCACGUAUCUUUCAAAUGUCUGCCCUAUCAACUUUCGAUGGUAGGAUAUUUGCCUACCAUGGUUAUAACGGGUAACGGGGAAUCAGGGUUCGAUUCCGGAGAGGGAGCCUUAGAAACGGCUACCACAUCUAAGGAAGGCAGCAGGCGCGCAAAUUACCCACUCUCAGCAAGAGGAGGUAGUGACAAAAAAUAACGAUGCAGGACUCUAAAUGAGGCCCUGUAAUUGGAAUGAGAACAAUUUAAAUCCUUUAGCGAAUACAAAUGGAG